RNAcentral lists this long non-coding RNA (198 nucleotides) under Dermacentor andersoni. Its description in RNAcentral is "uncharacterized LOC126529369". The record is from RNAcentral. Lineage: Eukaryota; Metazoa; Arthropoda; Arachnida; Ixodida; Ixodidae.
GGGCUUCGUCAUAUUCAUAAACUUUACAGAAGGUCCACUAAUAUUGAGCAUUAAUAUCACUGAGAAAACUGGCAGUUUGGUGAAUCUGACCGGCGCAUCGCCAAGCUACAAAGUAAUUCAUUACGAUAACGACACCAUGAUACUGGCUAAUAAAUUCGCAACAUUUAGGGAACAAGCAUUAUGUUCAUUGUGGGUGAC